UGGGGAAUAUUGCACAAUGGGGGAAACCCUGAUGCAGCGACGCCGCGUGAGUGAAGAAGUAUUUCGGUAUGUAAAGCUCUAUCAGCAGGGAAGAAGAUGACAGUACCUGACUAAGAAGCCCCGGCUAACUACGUGCCAGCAGCCGCGGUAAUACGUAGGGGGCAAGCGUUAUCCGGAUUUACUGGGUGUAAAGGGAGCGUAGGUGGCAAGGCAAGCCAGAAGUGAAAACCCGGGGCUUAACCCCGCGGAUUGCUUUUGGAACUGUCUGGCUGGAGUGCAGGAGGGGCAGGCGGAAUUCCUAGUGUAGCGGUGAAAUGCGUAGAUAUUAGGAGGAACACCGGUGGCGAAGGCGGCCUGCUGGACUGUAACUGACACUGAGGCUCGAAAGCGUGGGGAGCAAACA
RNAcentral lists this ribosomal RNA (403 nucleotides) under uncultured bacterium. Its description in RNAcentral is "bacterial SSU rRNA". It matches the Rfam family "Bacterial small subunit ribosomal RNA", at positions 355 to 774 of the family's 1533-position model. The record is from RNAcentral.